UGAAAGGGGUGGGAAGCAGGGAGAUCACCCCCUGGGAAGCUCUCUGUGGAAUUUACUUUCAAAUGGGGCUGCUCUGAGUCUGAGCAGUCACUGCUGGGGUUUGGGGUUGCCAUGAAAUUAUAGUUGUAUUCUGUCUCUGUCAAGUCCUGAGGCUUCAGAAGAAGAAAAUGAAGAAAAGAUGUUGGGGAGAAGAACAGAGUCAUGUACUUAAGUAAUGAAAGAAGAGUGUGUGGUCAGGCGCAUGCACACACACACACCCACACACCCACACACUCUUUCCCAGUCUGCAGAGCCCUGCCCUGGUGUUUGCUCACCUGAAAGAUAAGCUCUCAAUCUUGAGUCCUGACAAGGAGAUGUGAGAAAUCCUUCAAAGUUUGAGUAUCUGUGGCCAAGAGAAAACAAGUCUGUGGUCUGUGACUGGUGAUCGCCAUGGAAGUAUCAGAACCAAGCCAUAAUGGGAGACAGGAAAAAGAGGAACAAGGGGCAGGAGACUGCAAGUCUGAGGAAGUGGGUCUCACACCCACAGCGCUGAGUGAUGAGAUGUAUGCAGGUGAAGACUGUGGAGAAGGAGCAGCAGCUGCCUGAGAAGGGCAAUGGCUUCCUCCAAAUCUCCAUGUGAUUGAAGGUGCAGUGACCAAGUCAGGGC
RNAcentral lists this long non-coding RNA (646 nucleotides) under Heterocephalus glaber (naked mole-rat). RNAcentral's name for it is "lncRNA (ENSHGLG00100034054.1)". Lineage: Eukaryota; Metazoa; Chordata; Mammalia; Rodentia; Bathyergidae. The record is from RNAcentral.